Heterocephalus glaber (naked mole-rat) is the source of this 1353-nucleotide non-coding RNA. NCBI's taxonomy places the organism in Eukaryota, Metazoa, Chordata, Mammalia, Rodentia, Bathyergidae. The record is from RefSeq and is a predicted model, not a curated record.
UUCUCACCUAGGUUUGAUACCUGUGGACCUUAUCUUGUCUCCAGCAGUACUUCAGAUGAGCUUCUUGCCCCAGAAUGUGAUUCUGAUGAUUAAGAUCAAUCUGUUCUCCAGCUUCGUCCCUUCUACCUACAUUGAGAAGAUGAGAAGAUGAGGUGAGAAGAUGAGAAAGGAGAGCCCAAGAACUUGUGAAACAGACAUCUAAACAGAUGGAUUUCCAAUUGCCACAGCAGAAGAGGAAACAACUGGAGGGUCAUUUGGACUGGGAGUAGGAUGUGUCCUUUUUACACACUCGCCCAUUGUCUAGAACUGGUUACAAGGAUCCUCCUAGAGAAAGGAGAAGAGAGAGAGCAACUCGGCUGUUCAGUGAGCAGUGUGUGUCUCUGGUACCAGUGGAUGUAGGACAAAUGUUCCCCUAACCUCGAUCUGAGUGCACUAUCACUUCUGUCUAGAGUAACCCAAAAAGGCCUGGGAGAGUGUUGUUUUGUUUUUUUAAAAAUUAAUUUUAUUGGUACAUUUUAGGUAUACAAUAUAAUGACAUUCAUCAGAGAGUAUUGUUUUUGAUGGAUCUUCUAGAAUGAGCAGUCCGUGGAAAGCAGUUUUGGGAGUAGUUAUUGCAAGACAACGCAACAGCACAGAAAUAAGAAAAUACCAAGUGUGUUAGAGAUCUACAUUACUAGAAAGAAUAGGAAGGCAUGGGAAUGGACACUGAAAGACUUCACUAGUCCCUUUGUAAAGAGCAACAUCUCUGUUAACAGGUUUAUACUACAGACAAACUUACUGAAUAUAUUCAAAGCUUGAAUUGAUAUUAUGGAAGAGGAUGGAAUAAUCUAACCAUGCCUACUAUAGAUAAGGGUUCUUCAAAGGAAAGUAAAGAUUUUCCCAUGGUCAUACAGCUGCUUAGUGAAAGAACCAUCAUUAAAAUGCAUGUUUCCUGACUCCAAAUUCAGAUUGCAUGAGGCUACUCUAAUGUUCUAGAAGUAGCUCACAGUAUGGAUGAGACAGUGGGUAGGCCAGAGAAGUGAAGACCUAUUUAGAUAAUUUUAUUGAUUUACUUUCCUGAAUGAAACAAAAAGACCCCUGAACUAGAGCAGUUAUCAAGAGGAAUGGAGAAUUACGUGACUGGAGUUAGAUGGUCCUUUUCCAUUCCUUCAUGAUUCCACAUGCAGUAUAAGGACUGCUUCUACUGCUGGUGAGAUUGGGAGGAAGAAACAAGCACAGGUGACUUAAUUUGAGUCUUCCUCUUCAUUGUCCUCCUCUGUUGUGCAGUGGGGAGAAACUGGUGGCAUAGCUUAGCUCAGACUGGGUGGGUGAUUUUAAUUCAUUAGGGAGUAAAAUGUUUGCCUGCUCAUGUGC